RNAcentral lists this ribosomal RNA (728 nucleotides) under Verrucomicrobia bacterium WD172. RNAcentral's name for it is "bacterial SSU rRNA". It matches the Rfam family "Bacterial small subunit ribosomal RNA", at positions 388 to 1105 of the family's 1533-position model. The record is from RNAcentral. Lineage: Bacteria; Pseudomonadati; Verrucomicrobiota.
GGAGCGACGCCGCGUGGAGGAUAAGGUCUUCGGAUUGUAAACUCCUGUCAUGCGCGAACAAGGUUGCCAGGUUAAUACCUUGGCAAAUUGAUGGUACCGCAAGAGGAAGAGACGGCUAACUCUGUGCCAGCAGCCGCGGUAAUACAGAGGUCUCAAGCGUUGUUCGGAAUCACUGGGCGUAAAGGGUGCGUAGGUGGCGUGGUAAGUCAGAUGUGAAAGCCCGGGGCUCAACCUCGGAACUGCAUCCGAUACUGCCAUGCUUGAGUACUGAAGAGGUGACUAGAAUUCUCGGUGUAGCAGUGAAAUGCGUAGAUAUCGAGAGGAAUACCAAAGGCGAAGGCAGGUCACUGGGCAGUUACUGACACUGAGGCACGAAGGCCAGGGGAGCAAACGGGAUUAGAUACCCCGGUAGUCCUGGCAGUAAACGGUGCACAUUUGGUGUGGGGGGAUUCGACCCCUUCCGCGCCGGAGCUAACGCGUUAAAUGUGCCGCCUGGGAAGUACGGUCGCAAGAUUAAAACUCAAAGAAAUUGACGGGGACCCGCACAAGCGGUGGAGUAUGUGGCUUAAUUCGAUGCAACGCGAAGAACCUUACCUGGUCUUGACAUGCAUUCUGUCGUCUGUGAAAGCAGGCUAGGGUAGCAAUACCCGGUUUGCACAGGUGCUGCAUGGCUGUCGUCAGCUCGUGUCGUGAGAUGUUGGGUUAAGUCCCGCAACGAGCGCAACCCC